This 161-nucleotide small nuclear RNA is filed under the name Nannospalax galili (Upper Galilee mountains blind mole rat). RNAcentral's name for it is "U1 spliceosomal RNA (ENSNGAG00000004112.1)". It matches the Rfam family "U1 spliceosomal RNA". Rfam says of the family: U1 is a small nuclear RNA (snRNA) component of the spliceosome (involved in pre-mRNA splicing). The record is from Rfam by way of RNAcentral. Lineage: Eukaryota; Metazoa; Chordata; Mammalia; Rodentia; Spalacidae.
AUACUUACCUGGCAGGAGAGAUACCAUGAUCACGAAGGUGGUUUUCCCAGGGAGAGGCUUAUGCAUUGCACUCUGGAUGUGCUGAACCUGCGAUUUUCCCAUGUGGGAAACUCGACUGCAUAAUUUGUGGUAGUGGGGGACUGCAUUCUCGCUCUCCCCUG